AUUGAACGNCUGGCGGCACCGUCUUUACACAUGCAAGUCGAACGGUAACGCGGGGAGAAGCUUGCUUCUCUCCGGCGACGAGUGGCGAACGGGUGAGUAAUACAUCGGAACGUGUCCGCUCGUGGGGGACAACCAGCCGAAAGGUUGGCUAAUACCGCAUGAGUUCUACGGAAGAAAGAGGGGGACCCGCAAGGGCCUCUCGCGAGCGGAGCGGCCGAUGACUGAUUAGCCGGUUGGUGAGGUAACGGCUCACCAAAGCAACGAUCAGUAGCUGGUCUGAGAGGACGACCAGCCACACUGGGACUGAGACACGGCCCAGACUCCUACGGGAGGCAGCAGUGGGGAAUUUUGGACAAUGGGCGCAAGCCUGAUCCAGCUAUUCCGCGUGUGGGAUGAAGGCCCUCGGGUUGUAAACCACUUUUGUAGAGAACGAAAAGACACCUUUUAAAAAAGGGUGUUGCUGACGGUACUCUAAGAAUAAGCACCGGCUAACUACGUGCCAGCAGCCGCGGUAAUACGUAGGGUGCGAGCGUUAAUCGGAAUUACUGGGCGUAAAGGGUGCGCAGGCGGUUGAGUAAGACAGAUGUGAAAUCCCCGAGCUUAACUCGGGAAUGGCAUAUGUGACUGCUCGACUAGAGUGUGUCAGAGGGAGGUGGAAUUCCACGUGUAGCAGUGAAAUGCGUAGAUAUGUGGAAGAACACCGAUGGCGAAGGCAGCCUCCUGGGACAUAACUGACGCUCAGGCACGAAAGCGUGGGGAGCANACAGG
RNAcentral lists this ribosomal RNA (768 nucleotides) under uncultured bacterium. RNAcentral describes it as "bacterial SSU rRNA". It matches the Rfam family "Bacterial small subunit ribosomal RNA", at positions 28 to 776 of the family's 1533-position model. The record is from RNAcentral.